This 468-nucleotide ribosomal RNA is filed under the name uncultured bacterium. RNAcentral describes it as "partial 16S ribosomal RNA". It matches the Rfam family "Bacterial small subunit ribosomal RNA", at positions 28 to 507 of the family's 1533-position model. The record is from RNAcentral.
GACGAACGCUGGCGGCGUGCUUAACACAUGCAAGUCGAACGGAAAGGCCCUGCUUUUGUGGGGUGCUCGAGUUGCGAACGGGUGAGUAACACGUGAGUAACCUGCCCUUUACUUUGGGAUAUCUUCAUGUAACUGGGUCUAUUACCGGAUAGGCUCUCCUUCUGCUUGGUGUGGGUUGGUUAGUUUCGGCGUUUGGGGAUGGACUGGCGGCUUAUCAGCUUGUUUGUUGGGUAGUGGCUUACCAAGGCUUUGACGGGUAGCCGGCCUGUGAGGGUGACCGGCCAAAAUGGGACUGAGAUACGGACCAGAAUGCAACGGGAGGCAGCAGUGGGGAAUAUUGCACAAUGGGCGGAAGCAAGAUGCAGAAACGCAGCGUGCGGGAUGACGGCCUUCGGGUUGUAAACCGCUUUAGACUGUGACGAAGCGUGAGUGACGGUAAUGGGUAAAGAAGCACCGGCUAACUACGUG